UAUGUUUUAUUCAAAACUAGUUGACAUCUUAUAUAAUAAGAGAAGGUUUUUUCCUAACUUUUCCUAACAUUGCUACAUUUGGCACUUUAUUUUGGUGACACUUGUCUUCUUCCAUUUAUUACUUUGUUUCUUCCAAUUUAUAUCUUCUUUUUAGUAUUUAAUUCCAAAAAAUCAUAUUUAUCCAUUUCGGAUAUAUUUUUAAAUUGAUUUUUGUCUUCUAAUAUUUUUAGUUAAAAAUAAUAUCUUCUUAUUAUCACAUAU
This 261-nucleotide small RNA is filed under the name Arabidopsis thaliana (thale cress). RNAcentral's name for it is "ATSL059200". The record is from RNAcentral. Lineage: Eukaryota; Viridiplantae; Streptophyta; Magnoliopsida; Brassicales; Brassicaceae.